RNAcentral lists this ribosomal RNA (253 nucleotides) under uncultured bacterium. Its description in RNAcentral is "partial 16S ribosomal RNA". It matches the Rfam family "Bacterial small subunit ribosomal RNA", at positions 524 to 776 of the family's 1533-position model. The record is from RNAcentral.
UACAGAGGUCCCAAGCGUUGUUCGGAUUCAUUGGGCGUAAAGGGUGCGUAGGCGGCGCGGUAAGUCGGGUGUGAAAUCUCGGGGCUUAACUCCGAAACUGCAUUCGAUACUGCCGUGCUUGAGGACUGGAGAGGAGACUGGAAUUUACGGUGUAGCGGUGAAAUGCGUAGAUAUCAGGAGGAACACCGGUGGUGUAGCCGGCUCUCUGGACCAUAACUGACGCUGAGACACGAAAGCGUGGGUAGCAAACAGG